Molecule: long non-coding RNA, 1260 nt
Organism: Ricinus communis (castor bean)
Lineage: Eukaryota; Viridiplantae; Streptophyta; Magnoliopsida; Malpighiales; Euphorbiaceae
Exons: 2
Source: RefSeq, a predicted model, not a curated record
UUUAGUGGUCCCCUUUAACAUUUCAUUGAUUGUUAUAACUCUCUCACUCAUGUAAUAACCUUAUAGAGAGAGAAAGAGAGGGGCAAAUGGUCAGUGUCAAUAGCUGUAAGGAAGGACCAAAACCCACCAUUAAAUACUCCAUCUAUGACACAGUACAAAGAAGAAAAGAGCUGAGAAAUAAGUCAGACAGAGAGAGAGAGAGAGAGAGAGAGAGAGAGGGGUUGAGUGCAUAUUUUUAUAAAUAGAGAAGAGAUAAUCACAAGGAUUCCCCUCUUUCUCUACCCACAGAUACAUGCAUGGCUCAUGCUUUCUUUCUCAAGAAAAUCCUUUGGUAUAAACAAAUUCUGUCUGCUAAACUCCUCCAAUUUCCAACACCCACUUUCUACCUUUCUUUUCUUCUUUUUCUUUUUUGCUUUUGUUUUUGUUUUUGGUAUACCCAACCAAUAUCCAUCAAUACCCAUUAACUAACUUGUUUGAUAUGUUGGUUUGAGAGAUUGAAGCUGCCAGCAUGAUCUGGUAAUGAACCCUUUAUGCAUAUUCUUUCUCACUACUAUACUAUUUGUAUAUAUAGAUAGAAUCAGGCACUAUCCAUAGAUUUGUAUUGCCAGUUUUGGAUACAUUUUAUGUGAUAUAUAUGGAUUUGGUACUUAGAUAUAGAAUAUGUGUAAUUAAUUAUAGCUGAAAAAAGGGGUGAGUAAGUACACCUAUAUAUACAUAGAUAGGAAAUUAACCUAAUUGGGCAUACACCCAGUUGAGCUUAGGUAUAGAUAUUUAUGAGUAUAAAUAGUUCCAUCAGGUCAUCUUGCAGCUUCAAUCCCUCAAUCACCAACAGUAAGAGAUUGAAUCAGUUCUUUUCUUGGAGGGGGAUUAAUGACAUAACUUCUUAAGCACAACCUUCAGCUAUGAGUAAUUCAUUUACAAAGCUUUGCGGAUAAGAAAGUGAUCAAGUUCAGCUAUGUAUAUAGUUGCCAAGGCUGAACUCAGAUCAUUUUCACAAAAUUACAUGCUAAAUGGGAUUUAGAGUUUAUGUAUUAGCUGUCACAAGUGUUCUUUAGUUUCGGAAGCAGACAACUAUAUAUACAUUAGCUGUCACAGGUGUGUAUUCUUUAGUUCUGGUCACGGACAUGUAUAUGUGUGGCUCUUUCAUCUCCUCUCUUUGUUUUGGUUACUAAUGACUUGACUAGUAAUAAGUUUAGUAUAUGUUUUCAUUUAUGUACCAAAUUGAUAGAUGAUUCAUACAUAUUUAUCAGUUUUAAAUGA